This is an RNA transcript of Rhinichthys klamathensis goyatoka, 1345 nucleotides long. It is a transcript of the gene named PRP18 pre-mRNA processing factor 18 homolog (yeast), with no coding region annotated. The record is from RefSeq and is a predicted model, not a curated record. Lineage: Eukaryota; Metazoa; Chordata; Actinopteri; Cypriniformes; Leuciscidae. The transcript is spliced from 12 exons.
AUAUUUUGCCAUACAAUCUUUAGUAUUUUUGUCAUUUUGUUGAGUUAUGGACAUCCUCAAAGCAGAGAUCGCGAGGAAAAGAAAGCUUAUAGAGGACAAAGAUCUCAUAGACGACUCAAAGAAAUACUUCAAAAGGGCUGAUCUCGCGCGAAAGGAAGAGGAAGAAUAUUAUAGGAGAUGUGGAUACAAGGUUUCUAAUGAGCAGCCUGUGAGACAGCUGGACAAGACUGAGGAUGAGGAGCCUCCAUCUACAUCAGCCAAUCCUGUGUUAGAACUAGAGCUCACGGAGGAGAAACUGCCAAUGACGCUCUCUCGACAGGAGGCGGUCAGACGUCUGAGGGAACGAGGCGAGCCGGUCCGUCUGUUUGGCGAAUCCGAUUAUGAUGCUUUCCAGAGACUCCGCAAAAUUGAAAUUCUAGCACCAGAAGUAAACAAGGGUUUGAGGAAUGAUCUGAAGGCUGCCAUGGAUAAGAUCGAUCAGCAGUAUCUGAAUGAGAUUGUGGGUGGAGCAGAAGGUUCAGUUUUACUGGACACACAACACGACCUCAAAGUGCAUGAAGAAAAUACCACCAUUGAGGAGCUGGAGGAUCUGGGAGCAUCUCUUGGCACUGGUAAUGAUGUUCGAGACAUGGACGUCAUAAAUAAAGUACUUAGGUUCUUGCUGGGCGUGUGGGCUAAAGAUCUAAACAGCCGAGAGGACCAUGUGAAGCGCAGUGUCCAGGGCAAGCUCGCCAGUGCCACCCAAAAACAGACCGAAUCUUAUCUGGAACCUCUUUUCAGAAAACUACGCAAGAAGAAUUUACCAGGAGACAUUAAGGAGUCCAUUACAGACAUCAUAAAGUUUAUGCUGGAGAGGGAAUAUGUUAAGGCAAAUGAUGCGUAUCUGCAGAUGGCUAUAGGAAACGCUCCGUGGCCCAUCGGUGUGACCAUGGUGGGCAUCCACGCUCGUACUGGACGUGAGAAGAUCUUCUCCAAACACGUCGCCCAUGUGCUCAAUGACGAGACCCAAAGGAAAUACAUUCAGGGGCUGAAAAGAUUAAUGACAAUCUGUCAGAAACAUUUCCCAACAGAUCCCUCAAAGUGUGUGGAGUACAACGCUCUGUGACGUACACUUCACAACAUUCAAAGUCAUGUUGUCUCUCGCUCUCUCGUGUUGUAAAUAACUUAUUGAUUGUAAAUAUACCCCAGUCUUGAGAACAUAUGGAUUUCUUUAGCAGUGGUUUUCAAUCCUGGGACCCACCGGUUUGCACGUUUGUGUGCGUGAGAGUUCCAUGAGUGUUACUGAGUGUCAGAUAAGAGAGACAAAUGUGCAGAGUGGUGGGAACCCAGGACCAGGAUUGAAAAC